Molecule: long non-coding RNA, 864 nt
Organism: Pteronotus mesoamericanus
Lineage: Eukaryota; Metazoa; Chordata; Mammalia; Chiroptera; Mormoopidae
Exons: 4
Source: RefSeq, a predicted model, not a curated record
UACAACCCAUGCCACCAGGCAUUGGCCGGGCUGCGGGUGCCCCGGCACCUCACUUGGCUCCAGAGGGCUGGGAGGGCUUCCUGGAGGAGGAGAAGGCUGAGCUCAGCUAGGAAUCAGGAGCAUGGAGUGCAAAGGAGAGCUGAGAUUAACACUGUGACAAAGAUGGCAGUGUCCGAAGUUUGGGAACGUGCUGUCAUGAUAUCACAGAAUGUUGACCAUACCCUGGGGAGGAUGAUGCCCAACCCACUGAGCCACACCGGUCAGGACUAGGGGAACACGUUUCUGCUGGCUGGAGCUGAUUCACUCUGUCCUCUGCAGAGGGACAUGGCUCUCCACUUGCCACUGUCCCUCCCUCUUCCUAUUGCAGUUCCAAUGACGAACAGACCCCUGCCUGGCCCUGCAAAUAUUUGAGUGGUCUUCUCCUCCCCAAGCCCUGUGACCUCCGUGCACUCAUGGGAGAAACAUAAAAUCCGUGACCAGUGCCGUUCAAGACGGUCAAGGUCACUGAAAACGAGGAGAGUCUGAGACACUGUCGCAGCCGGGAGGAGCCCAAGGAGACGUGUCCGCUAAAUGACACGCAGUGUCCUGGGUGGGAUCCUGGGACAGAAAAAGGACAUGUAGUAAAAACUAAAGAAAUCCGAAUAAAGAGUGAACUUCGGGGAAAUAAUGAUGUAUUAACAUUGGUUCAAUAAUUGUGACCAGGGUGCCAUAUUAAUGAACCUGUUAAUAACAAGGGAACGGGGCUGGGGGUGCACGGUGACAUUCCGUACUGUCUAUGCAAGUUUCAGGUUUCCAUUGCUGUAAAUCUGUAACUAUUCUAAAAUUAAAAGUGUUUUGCAUCCCUACACCCAAGCAUGUAAAAGU